GACGAACGCUGGCGGCGUGCUUAACACAUGCAAGUCGAACGGAAAGGCCUGCUUUCCCUUGUGGCUUGCGGGUACUCGAGUGGCGAACGGGUGAGUAACACGUGAGUGAUCUGCCCCCAACUUUGGUAUAAGCCUGGGAAACUGGGUCUAAUUCCCUAUAGGACUGCAGGGUGGUUCCUGUGGUGGAAAACGAUGUUCUAGUGGUUGGGGAUGAGCUCGCGGCCUAUCAGCUUGUUGGUGGGGUAAUGUCGUACCAAGGCGGCGACGGGUAGCCGGCCUGGGAGGGUCGGCGUGAAAAGUGGAACGGCGAUAUGGGGACGACGCUAACGGGAGGCAGCAGUCGGGAGGAAUGAGUGAGGGGGGGAGGACUGAGGGCGCGACGCGGAGGGAGCGAUGACGGGUUUCGGGUGGUAACCUUCUGUUGACAGAGCGGAAGCGACUUGGAUGGAAGGGUAGUGACGGUAGUGGGAGAAGAAGCACCGGCUAACUACGUG
RNAcentral lists this ribosomal RNA (494 nucleotides) under uncultured bacterium. Its description in RNAcentral is "partial 16S ribosomal RNA". It matches the Rfam family "Bacterial small subunit ribosomal RNA", at positions 28 to 507 of the family's 1533-position model. The record is from RNAcentral.